GCCGUAGUAGCUUAGGGGUAGAGCACUCCCUUGGUAAGGGAGAGGUCGUGGGUCCGAUUCCCACCUACGGCACCA
Molecule: transfer RNA, 75 nt
Filed under: Holosporales bacterium
Lineage: Bacteria; Pseudomonadati; Pseudomonadota; Alphaproteobacteria; Holosporales
Description: tRNA-Thr
Rfam family: tRNA
About the family: Transfer RNA (tRNA) molecules are approximately 80 nucleotides in length. Their secondary structure includes four short double-helical elements and three loops (D, anti-codon, and T loops).
Source: RNAcentral